Molecule: ribosomal RNA, 496 nt
Filed under: uncultured bacterium
Lineage: Bacteria
Description: partial 16S ribosomal RNA
Rfam family: Bacterial small subunit ribosomal RNA
Source: RNAcentral
ACGAACGCUGGCGGCGUGCCUAAUACAUGCAAGUUGAGCGCUGAAGGUUGGUACUUGUACCAACUGGAUGAGCAGCGAACGGGUGAGUAACGCGUGGGGAAUCUGCCUUUGAGCGGGGGCCAACAUUUGGAAACGAAUGCUAAUACCGCAUAAAAACUUUAAACACAAGUUUUAAGUUUGAAAGAUGCAAUUGCAUCACUCAAAGAUGAUCCCGCGUUGUAUUAGCUAGUUGGUGAGGUAAAGGCUCACCAAGGCGAUGAUACAUAGCCGACCUGAGAGGGUGAUCGGCCACAUUGGGACUGAGACACGGCCCAAACUCCUACGGGAGGCAGCAGUAGGGAAUCUUCGGCAAUGGACGGAAGUCUGACCGAGCAACGCCGCGUGAGUGAAGAAGGUUUUCGGAUCGUAAAACUCUGUUGGUAGAGAAGAACGUUGGUGAGAGUGGAAAGCUCAUCAAGUGACGGUAACUACCCAGAAAGGGACGGCUAACUACGUG